AUCAUUUCUUUAAAAAAUUAUCUGUUUGUAUCAGCUUAAUAUCAGAUAUGUCCUCUAUCUGAGGAUUAUAUAUUUAGUGGAUUUUUGGAACAGAGACAUAAAAUAGGAGCUUGCGCCAUCCACUCUGUGCCUCAACCUAAUAUUGCAGUACCUGCAGGAACAGGGCACCUCCU
Molecule: small nuclear RNA, 173 nt
Filed under: Pelusios castaneus (West African mud turtle)
Lineage: Eukaryota; Metazoa; Chordata; Testudines; Pelomedusidae
Description: U2 spliceosomal RNA (ENSPCEG00000008125.1)
Rfam family: U2 spliceosomal RNA
About the family: U2 is a small nuclear RNA (snRNA) component of the spliceosome (involved in pre-mRNA splicing). Complementary binding between U2 snRNA (in an area lying towards the 5' end but 3' to hairpin I) and the branchpoint sequence (BPS) of the intron results the bulging out of an unpaired adenosine, on the BPS, which initiates a nucleophilic attack at the intronic 5' splice site, thus starting the first of two transesterification reactions that mediate splicing.
Source: Rfam by way of RNAcentral